GUAAGCCGGGACCUAAGCUGAGGCCGAAAGGCGUAGGCGAUGGACAACGGGUUGAGAUUCCCGUGCCACCAUCAGUCCGUUUGAAGGAUGGGGUGACGCAGAAGGGUAAGUUAAGCGCGCGAUUGGAAAUGCGCGUCCAAGCCAGUAGGGCGCGAGAUAGGCAAAACCGUCUUGCAUCAAGCCUGAGAGGUGAUGGGGAGGGAAAUUCCAGUACCGAAGUAACUGAUCCCAUGCUGCCAAGAAAAACCUCUAACGAGGACCGAUGGUGCCCGUACCGCAAACCGACACAGGUAGGUAGGGUGAGAAUCCUAAGGCGCGCGAGAGAACCCUCGUUAAGGAACUCGGCAAAUUAACCCCGUAACUUUGGAAGAAGGGGUGCCCCGUUAGCGUGAUAAUUUAACUAUUGGAGCGCGAGGGGGUCGCAGUGACCAGGCCCAGGCGACUGUUUAACAAAAACACAGGUCCCUGCUAAAUCGCAAGAUGAAGUAUAGGGGCUGACGCCUGCCCAGUGCCGGAAG
Molecule: ribosomal RNA, 518 nt
Filed under: Melioribacteraceae bacterium
Lineage: Bacteria; Pseudomonadati; Ignavibacteriota; Ignavibacteria; Ignavibacteriales; Melioribacteraceae
Description: partial 23S ribosomal RNA
Rfam family: Bacterial large subunit ribosomal RNA
Source: RNAcentral